GACGAACGCUGGCGGCGUGCUUAACACAUGCAAGUCGAACGGAAAGGCCCUGCUUUUGUGGGGUGCUCGAGUGGCGAACGGGUGAGUAACACGUGAGUAACCUGCCCUUGACUUUGGGAUAACUUCAGGAAACUGGGGCUACUACCGGAUAGGAGCUCCUGCUGCAUGGUGGGGGUUGGAAAGUUUCGGCGGUUGGGGAUGGACUCGCGGCUUAUCAGCUUGUUGGUGGGGUAGUGGCUUACCAAGGCUUUGACGGGUAGCCGGCCUGAGAGGGUGACCGGCCACAUUGGGACUGAGAUACGGCCCAGACUCCUACGGGAGGCAGCAGUGGGGAAUAUGGCACAAUGGGCGGAAGCCUGAUGCAGCAACGCCGCGUGCGGGAUGACGGCCUUCGGGUUGUAAACCGCUUUCGCCUGUGACGAAGCGUGAGUGACGGUAAUGGGUAAAGAAGCACCGGCUAACUACGUG
This 468-nucleotide ribosomal RNA is filed under the name uncultured bacterium. RNAcentral describes it as "partial 16S ribosomal RNA". It matches the Rfam family "Bacterial small subunit ribosomal RNA", at positions 28 to 507 of the family's 1533-position model. The record is from RNAcentral.